GAUAUCAACUUUCGAUGGUAGGAUAGAGGCCUACCAUGGUGGUAACGGGUAACGGGGUGUUAGGGCACGACACCGGAGAGGGAGCCUGAGAAACGGCUACCACAUCCAAGGAUGGCAGCAGGCGCGCAAAUUACCCAAUCCCGACACGGGGAGGUAGUGACAAUAAAUAACAAUACGGGGUUCUCUCGGAUUUCGUAAUUGGAAUGAGUACAAUUUAAAUCUCUUAACGAGGAACAAUUGGAGGGCAAGUCUGGUGCCAGCAGCCGCGGUAAUUCCAGCUCCAAUAGCGUAUAUUAAAGUUGCUGCAGUUAAAAAGCUCGUAGUUGAAUUUCGGGACUAAUAUGUCGGUCGUGCCUAGGUACGUACUGGCUUAUUGGUUUCUCCUUUCUGGAGAACCAUGAUGUCAUUUAUUUGGUGUCGUGGGGAAUCAGGACUGUUACUUUGAAAAAAUUAGAGUGUUUAAAGCAGGCUCACGCUUGAAUACAUUAGCAUGGAAUAAUGAAAUAGGACGUUUGAUUCUAUUUUGUUGGUUUCUAGGAUCGACGUAAUGAUUAAUAGGGAUAGUUGGGGGCAUUAGUAUUCAAUUGUCAGAGGUGAAAUUCUUGGAUUUAUUGAAGACUAACUACUGCGAAAGCAUUUGCCAAGGAUGUUUUCAUUAAUCAAGAACGAAAGUUAGGGGAUCGAAGACGAUCAGAUACCGUCGUAGUCUUAACCAUAAACUAUGCCGACUAGGGAUCGGAUGAUGUUAAUUUUUUAAUGACUCAUUCGGCGCCUUACGGGAAACCAAAGUGUUUGGGUU
Molecule: ribosomal RNA, 799 nt
Filed under: uncultured Glomeromycotina
Lineage: Eukaryota; Fungi; Glomeromycota
Description: SSU rRNA
Rfam family: Eukaryotic small subunit ribosomal RNA
Source: RNAcentral